GUGAGGAAUAUUGCGCAAUGGAGGCAACUCUGACGCAGCCAUGCCGCGUGCAGGAAGAAGGCGCUACGCGUUGUAAACUGCUUUUAACCGGGAAGAAACCCCAGGACGUGUCCUGGGUUGACGGUACCGGAGGAAUAAGCACCGGCUAACUUCGUGCCAGCAGCCGCGGUAAUACGAAGGGUGCAAGCGUUAUCCGGAUUCAUUGGGUUUAAAGGGUGCGUAGGCGGAGCGUUAAGUCAGUGGUGAAAUCCUGCAGCUUAACUGUAGACUUGCCAUUGAUACUGGCGCUCUUGAGUGCGCUUGAAGUGGGCGGAAUGUGCCGUGUAGCGGUGAAAUGCUUAGAUAUGGCACAGAACACCAAUUGCGAAGGCAGCUCACUAAGGCGAUACUGACGCUGAGGCACGAAAGCGUGGGGAUCGAACAGGAUUAGAUACCCUAGUAGUCC
Molecule: ribosomal RNA, 445 nt
Filed under: uncultured bacterium
Lineage: Bacteria
Description: bacterial SSU rRNA
Rfam family: Bacterial small subunit ribosomal RNA
Source: RNAcentral